GUAGCAAACAGGAUUAGAUACCCUGGUAGUCCACGCCGUAAACGAUGUCGACCAGCCGUUGGGUGCCUAGCGCACUUUGUGGCGAAGUUAACGCGAUAAGUCGACCGCCUGGGGAGUACGGCCGCAAGGUUAAAACUCAAAUGAAUUGACGGGGGCCCGCACAAGCGGUGGAGCAUGUGGUUUAAUUCGAUGCAACGCGAAGAACCUUACCUACUCUUGACAUCCUGCGAACUUGUGAGAGAUCACUUGGUGCCUUCGGGAGCGCAGAGACAGGUGCUGCAUGGCUGUCGUCAGCUCGUGUUGUGAAAUGUUGGGUUAAGUCCCGUAACGAGCGCAACCCUUGUCCUUAUUUGCCAGCGGGUAAUGCCGGGAACUCUAAGGAGACUGCCGGUGACAAACCGGAGGAAGGUGGGGACGACGUCAAGUCAUCAUGGCCCUUACGAGUAGGGCUACACACGUGCUACAAUGGCCGGUACAAAGGGUUGCGAGCUCGCGAGAGUCAGCUAAUCCCGAAAAGCCGGUCUCAGUCCGGAUCGGAGUCUGCAACUCGACUCCGUGAAGUCGGAAUCGCUAGUAAUCGUGAAUCAGAAUGUCACGGUGAAUACGUUCCCGGGCCUUGUACACACCGCCCGU
This 633-nucleotide ribosomal RNA is filed under the name uncultured bacterium. RNAcentral's name for it is "bacterial SSU rRNA". It matches the Rfam family "Bacterial small subunit ribosomal RNA", at positions 765 to 1397 of the family's 1533-position model. The record is from RNAcentral.